RNAcentral lists this ribosomal RNA (253 nucleotides) under uncultured bacterium. Its description in RNAcentral is "partial 16S ribosomal RNA". It matches the Rfam family "Bacterial small subunit ribosomal RNA", at positions 524 to 776 of the family's 1533-position model. The record is from RNAcentral.
UACGUAGGGUGCAAGCGUUGUCCGGAAUUAUUGGGCGUAAAGAGCUCGUAGGCGGCUUGUCACGUCGGAUGUGAAAGCCCGGGGCUUAACUCCGGGUCUGCAUUCGAUACGGGCAGGCUAGAGUUCGGUAGGGGAGAUCGGAAUUCCUGGUGUAGCGGUGAAAUGCGCAGAUAUCAGGAGGAACACCGGUGGCGAAGGCGGAUCUCUGGGCCGAUACUGACGCUGAGGAGCGAAAGCGUGGGGAGCGAACAGG